GCCCGCAUGGUGAAAUCGGUAGACACAAGAGACUUAAAAUCUCUCGACCUUUUGGUCGUCCCAGUUCGACUCUGGGUGCGGGCACCA
Molecule: transfer RNA, 87 nt
Filed under: Magnetococcus marinus MC-1
Lineage: Bacteria; Pseudomonadati; Pseudomonadota; Magnetococcia; Magnetococcales; Magnetococcaceae
Description: tRNA-Leu (TAA) (tRNA-Leu-TAA-1-1)
Source: RNAcentral